Molecule: non-coding RNA, 184 nt
Filed under: Paramoeba aestuarina
Lineage: Eukaryota; Discosea; Flabellinia; Dactylopodida; Paramoebidae
Source: RNAcentral
GGUAAACCCCCCGUCCUGAAAGGUGGUGAAUUAGCCAAGAGAUCCUCAAGAAAAAGAGCUGCUCAGAAAGCCGAAGAGGAAGCCAAAGAAGAAGGAAAUGUCCAAGAAAUGGAAAAAAUGGCAAAAAGAACAGUGCAUAUUACGAAGCAAAUGACUGAAGAUUGCAAAAAAUUGUUAAGAUUGA